CAUCAAACAUGUUUCUCCAAGGCCAAAUAGAAGCACUGGAAUGAGGUAAAAGAGCCUGUGUUAGAUAACUCCAAUAUAUGAAAUCCACGGAAUAGCUCAGCAAGAAGAACUUGGAAAGGUUUCUGUAAAAUAUACGGACUAACAGAUGUCUUGAGAAAAGAAAAGAAGUUGAAGAACAUAUCACAAAUUCUAGAUAAACUGAGAAUCACUCAGGAAAAUCAAAGGAAGUUAUGGGAACUGAUAGAGAAAGUCUUGUUACCUGAAGAUGAAGACAGAGUUUCUGAGAAUCCAGAAGAGUAAUGAAGUAAAGGAAGAUAAAUACUCUCCCCUUCAAAAGGACUCUUAACAUCCUGAAGUUGUUCAAGUGGAACCCAGGCAUGAAAAAUGUACUGUUGGACCUUAGAAUGCAAUAUUAAAACACAACUUCAAAACUGGGAACAUGCUUCCAUUUUUGCAUACGUUAUUGUUGAUUGCUAUACUGUCUGCAUAACAAGAUAUUUCCAUAUACUGUUUUAAGGAAACGUCUAGUGCUAAUAAUUGUUUAAUUAACUAGCUGUGUUUUUCUGUGAAGUUUUCACUAGACACUUCCCUCAUUCUGUCAUAAAUUCUCUACUUAGAGGAACUAAUUCUAGAGGAAUACCAGGUAUUAAACUCCCAGGACAAAACUCACAGCUGGAAGUUAUUUAAGUAAACUGAAGUUGCAUCUUCUAAAUAAGACAUGAAUACUAGUCUUGAACCAGGCUUUG
Molecule: long non-coding RNA, 746 nt
Organism: Cygnus olor (mute swan)
Lineage: Eukaryota; Metazoa; Chordata; Aves; Anseriformes; Anatidae
Exons: 4
Source: RefSeq, a predicted model, not a curated record